GGGAACUUCGGGCCCGCAGCCGCGGUAAGGCGAAGGGUGCGAGCGUUACUCGGAAUUACUGGGCGUAAAGGGUGCGUAGGUGGUUUUUUAAGUCUGCUGUGAAAGCCCCGGGCUCAACCUGGGAAUGGCAGUGGAUACUGGAAAGCUAGAGUGCGGUAGAGGGUAGUGGAAUUCCCGGUGUAGCAGUGAAAUGCGUAGAGAUCGGGAGGAACACCAGUGGCGAAGGCGGCUACCUGGACCAGCACUGACACUGAGGCACGAAAGCGUGGGGAGCAAACAGGAUUAGAUACCCGAGUAGUC
Molecule: ribosomal RNA, 300 nt
Filed under: uncultured Bartonella sp.
Lineage: Bacteria; Pseudomonadati; Pseudomonadota; Alphaproteobacteria; Hyphomicrobiales; Bartonellaceae
Description: bacterial SSU rRNA
Rfam family: Bacterial small subunit ribosomal RNA
Source: RNAcentral